AGGGAUUUGUCAUCGGGCGAACCCUCGACCCCGCCACGCCGCGUGGUGUGAAGGCUUCGGGUGAAAGUCUUUCGCCGGGACGAAAAUGCCGACCGGGAGAACAAGCUCCGGCUAGCUCCAUGCCAGCAGCCCCGGUAAUAAUACUUGCCCGCCGUCAUAAUAUAAAA
This 167-nucleotide ribosomal RNA is filed under the name uncultured bacterium. RNAcentral's name for it is "partial 16S ribosomal RNA". The record is from RNAcentral.